This 86-nucleotide transfer RNA is filed under the name Rhodospirillaceae bacterium. RNAcentral's name for it is "tRNA-Tyr". It matches the Rfam family "tRNA". From Rfam's summary of the family: Transfer RNA (tRNA) molecules are approximately 80 nucleotides in length. Their secondary structure includes four short double-helical elements and three loops (D, anti-codon, and T loops). Further hydrogen bonds mediate the characteristic L-shaped molecular structure. tRNAs have two regions of fundamental functional importance: the anti-codon, which is responsible for specific mRNA codon recognition, and the 3' end, to which the tRNAs corresponding amino acid is attached (by aminoacyl-tRNA synthetases). tRNAs cope with the degeneracy of the genetic code in two manners: having more than one tRNA (with a specific anti-codon) for a particular amino acid; and 'wobble' base-pairing, i.e. permitting non-standard base-pairing at the 3rd anti-codon position. Lineage: Bacteria; Pseudomonadati; Pseudomonadota; Alphaproteobacteria; Rhodospirillales; Rhodospirillaceae. The record is from RNAcentral.
GGAGGGGUGGCCGAGCGGUCAAUGGCAACGGAUUGUAAAUCCGUCGACUCACGUCUACGAAGGUUCGAAUCCUUCCCCCUCCACCA